CCUACGGGUGGCAGCAGUGAGGAAUAUUGGUCAAUGGCCGAGAGGCUGAACCAGCCAAGUCGCGUGAGGGAAGACGGCCCUACGGGUUGUAAACCUCUUUUGUCGGGGAGCAAAGCGAACCACGUGUGGUUCAUUGAGAGUACCCGAAGAAAAAGCAUCGGCUAACUCCGUGCCAGCAGCCGCGGUAAUACGGAGGAUGCGAGUGUUAUCCGGAUUUAUUGGGUGUAAAGGGAGCGUAGGCGGGACUGCAAGUUGGGUGUCAAAUCUACCGGCUCAACCGGUAGCCGCACUCAAAACUGCAGUUCUUGAGUGAAGUAGAGGCAGGCGGAAUUCCUAGUGUAGCGGUGAAAUGCGUAGAUAUUAGGAGGAACACCAGUGGCGAAGGCGGCCUGCUGGGCUUUUACUGACGCUGAGGCUCGAAAGUGUGGGGAGCAAACAGGAUUAGAUACCCGGGUAGUC
RNAcentral lists this ribosomal RNA (459 nucleotides) under uncultured bacterium. RNAcentral describes it as "partial 16S ribosomal RNA". It matches the Rfam family "Bacterial small subunit ribosomal RNA", at positions 338 to 795 of the family's 1533-position model. The record is from RNAcentral.